RNAcentral lists this ribosomal RNA (2596 nucleotides) under Capsicum chinense (habanero). RNAcentral describes it as "eukaryotic LSU rRNA". It matches the Rfam family "Eukaryotic large subunit ribosomal RNA". Lineage: Eukaryota; Viridiplantae; Streptophyta; Magnoliopsida; Solanales; Solanaceae. The record is from RNAcentral.
UUAAAUCAAGUCGUAAGUCAUUUUAUGUGAACAUUACUAGUACAUGUAAAAUGUGGGGUGUCACACUUUGAAAAGAGAGUCAAAGAGUGAUUGAAAUUAUUGGAAGGAAAGUGUAUGGGCCGGCGAUGCACCCCGGUCGGAUGUGGAAUGGAGACGAGCCGUUCCACCGAUCGACUUAGGGCAUGGACCAACGUGGAUUGGGGGGCGUCCAAAGCCUAGGAUCUCGGUAUGCUCAUGGAAUGCCGUCUCCUCGAUUGUGGUAGGUAGCGCGUGCCUUUGGCGUGCUUCGGUAUCUGUGAGCUAUGGACGCUUGCCUGUAGGCUCCUUAUUCGACCCGUCUUGAAAAACAGACGAAGGAGUCUGACAUGUGUGCAGGUCACGGGCGAGUUAACCCAUAAGGCAUAAGGAAGCUGAUUGGUAGUAUCCCCCCAAGGGUUGCACCACUGACCGACCUUUAUCUUCUGAGAAGGGUUCGAGUGUGAGUAUACCUGUUGGGACCCGAAAAAUGGUGAACUAUGCCUGAGCGGGGCGAAGCCAGAGGAAACUCUAGUGGAGGCCUGCAACGAUAUUAACAUACAAAUCAUCCCUCUGACUUGGGUGUAGGUCCCACAGCUACUUUGUUGAGCUGUGCUUCAGAAUCAAGAGCUCCAAGUGGGCCAUUUUUGGUAAGCAGAACUGCCGAUGCAGGAUAAACCGAAAGCCAGGUUACUGUACCAAACUGCGCACAAACCUAGAUCCCACAAAGGGUUUUGGUUGAUUAAGACAGCAGGACGGUGGUCAUGGAAGUCAAAAUCCACUAAGAAGUGUGUAACAACUCACCUGCAGAAUAAACUAGCCCUGAAAAUGGAUGGCGCUUAAGCGUACGACCUACACUCGGUCGUCGGGGAAAGUUUCGGGCUCGAUGAGUAGGAGGCCAUUGGUGCAGAUAUUUAUGGUAGUAGCAAAUAUUCAAAUGAGAACUUUGAAGGCCGAAGAGGGGAAUGGGUCCAUGUGAACGACACUUGCACAUGGGUUAGUCGAUCCUAAGGGUCGGGGAAACCCUGACAGAUAGCGUAUUUUACGCGUACUCUGAAAGGGAAUUGGGUUAAAAUUCUUAGACCAAGAUGUAGAGGUCAACAACAAUUUUAGGAAGUCUGGAGACAUCAUCGGGAGCCUCAGGAAGAGUUAUCUUUUCUGUUUAACAGCUUGCCCACCCUGGAAUCGGCUCAGCCAGAGGUAGGGUGCAGCGGCUGGAAUAGCACCGCACAUUACGUGGUGUCCGGUGCACUUCGGGCGGCCCUUGAAAACCCAAAGGACCGAAUGCCGUCAACACCUGGUCGUACUCAUAACCACAUCAGGUCUCCAAGGGGAACAACCUCUAGUCGAUGGAACAAUGUAGGCAAUGGAAGUCGGCAAAAUGGAUCCGUAACUUCUGGAGAAGGAUGGUACUGAGGGCGGGGCACGGGGAUCCCAGUCCCAAACUCAUCAGCUAUCGGUGGACUACUCGAAAUGCUCCUGUAAUGAGAGUGGGUCACCGCAUGCCGGCUGGGGGACAGACUGGGAAUGGUUCCUUUAGGGGCCUUUCCCGCUCGUCGAACAGAUAACUCAGAACUAGUAUAGAAAAGGGAAAUCCAACUCUCUUAAGCUAUCCAAAUGCCUCGUCAUCUAAUUAGUGACGCACAUGAAUAGAUUAAUGAGAUUCUCAUUAUCCCUGUCUACUAUCCAGCGAAACCACAGCCAAGGGAACGGGCUUGGCAGAAUCAACGAGAGAAAAAGACCCUCUUGAGCUUGACUCUACUCCGACUUUGUGAAAUGACUUUAGAGGUCUAGUAUAAGUGGGAGCCGAAAGGAGAAAGUGAAAUACCACUACUUUUAACAUUAUUUUACUUAUUUCGUGAAUUGAAAGCAGCGCACUGCCCCUCUUUUUGGACCCAAGGCUCGCUCUGCGGGCCGAUACAAACGGAUAACAUUGUCAGGUAGGGAGUUUCGCUGGGGCGACACAUCUGUUAAAAGAUAACGUAGGUGUCCUAAGAUGAGCUCAACGAGAAUAGAAAUAUCAUGUGGAACAGAAGGGUAAAAGCUUUUUUGAUUCUGAUUUCUAGUACGAAUACGAACCAUUAAAGCGUGGCCUAACGAUUCUUUCGACCUUCAGAAUUCAAAGCUAGAGGUGUCAGAAAAGUUUUACCACAGGGAUAGCUGGCCUGUUGCAGCCAAGCGUUCAUAGCCAUAUUGCAUUUUCAUCCUUCGAUGUCGGCUCUUCCUAUCAUUGAGAAGCAGAAUUUACCAAGUGUUGGACUGUCCACCCACCAAUAGGGUACGUGAGCUGGGCUUAGACCAUUAUGAGAUAGGUUAGUUUUACCCUACUUAAAAUAGUUUCGCAGUAGUAAUUCAACCUAGUAAGAAAGGAAAUAUUGAUCCACAUAAUUUGCCAUCGCACUUGGUUGAAAAGCCAGUGGCACAAAGCUACUGUGUGCUAGAUUAUGACUGGACACCUCUAAGUCAGAAUCUGGGCUGGAUUAUCAAGUUUUAUCGAACAUCUAUCUGCCCCGUACGAUGCUCCUUGCAAAUCUAGAGGACUGAAUGCCGUCCACUCCCGAUCGUACUCAUAACCACAUCA